This 4537-nucleotide long non-coding RNA is filed under the name Sus scrofa (pig). RNAcentral describes it as "lncRNA (ENSSSCG00040010623.1)". The record is from RNAcentral. Lineage: Eukaryota; Metazoa; Chordata; Mammalia; Artiodactyla; Suidae.
AGAGGGUUUAUUUAGCUAUACUAAAAACUUUAUUUAACAGAGUGCUAUGUAUUUUUUCUCCUGCUGCACACAUUUUUGUAAGCCUUCUCAAAUUCUUUGGAACUAGGUAAAGUACAAAAAAAAUUUGUAUAUUGGGUUGUGAGGCAGGAAGGAAAUCUGGGGGAUUUAGAAAUGAUAAAUUCAGAGAUUUAAGCAUUAGUCAGCUUGGGGCAAAGGUGACACAGCACCUGCAAGAAAGGAGGGGAUUCCUGGCACACAUGUCCUCCAGGUUGGAUUAUGAGGUGUUUUAAAUAUAUCUAUUUCCCUCCCCUGUAUUAGCAUCCAAAUAUUAGCUUCCCUUCCUGCAUUAAUUGACACAGUUUCUUAAGGUAAGAGCAUUAUUCUAAGAUUUCUGGAGUAUGCAUUUUCCAACAAAAAGUAUCAGCCGUUUAUGGACAUUCUGGAAUCUAACCUAUUGGCAUUAGGAAGCUAUUCUGGAUUUUUCUGAGUGGGCAGUGACAUAUGCAAUAUGCUUUAGUAAGAUUGGGUGAUGAAUAAAAUAAACUAAUGUUUACAUGGUGAUUGCUCCGAACUAAGCACAGUAAAUAUUUUACAUUGUUCAUAUCACUGAAUUUUCAAAACAGCGUAUGUAAAGCAGAUAAUUUUCAAAGUAUUUUUACUGAAGUAUAAUUGAUUUACAAUGUUGUACCAAUUUCUGCUGCACAGCAAAGUAACCCAGUCAUACAUAUAUAUAUACAUUCUUUUUAUCAUAUUAUCUUCCAUCAUGUUUUAUCCCAAGAGAUUGGAUAUGCAGAUACUUUUAUAGUAUCCAUUUUCCAGAUGAAAUAAAAAAGCUAUUUGUGUUGAAAUAACUUGUCCAAGUUGAGAUAACUAUGAAAAGGUAUAGGUGAAUGAAAACUAUGCAAGCAGUGCUAAAUGUUGUCUGAGCACGUACUAUACUAUCAAGACUAGAUUGGCUAGAAAAAGAAACUGAAAACAGGAAAAUGAGAUCACUGACUAUUGCAAUGGUCCAGGCACAAGAGAAUGAGACAAAGCAAAGGGAUUAGAUGGUAAGGAAGAUGUUACUAAGGGAGAAACAGAAGGACUGUGAUUGUUCCUUGGAUUUGACAGAUUGUACAGAGGGCACUCGAUAUGAUUAGUUUGAUUAACAGGAAUUAAUAAACACUGAUAAAUUGGCAAAUUGAUUAACAGGAAUUAAUAAACACUGAUAAACCGGCAAAUAUUGAUAAAAGAGUAGUGGUUUUGUUGGAUGGGGGAGGACUCCCUUUUGGAUCUUUUGAAUUUAAAUAAUAUCUAGAAUAAACCAAAAAAGUUGACAUUGAUACUGUUUCUAAAGCAAAACAAAAUACCCAAAUGACUGUUUGCUGGACUUCUCUCUACAAUGGUCUACUUCACUGAGGAAAUCCCAUUGGGAGAAUGUAUAGGAUGUCCAAUAAGAACCACAUAAAAUAGUAUAAUUUUGUUGUAGAAAUAAAAGGUUCUCUUAGAACUUAUUCAAGAUCACACAACUUGGAUUUUCCUUGCAGCACAGCAGGUUAAAGAUUCUGUAUUGUCACUUCAGUGGCUCGGGCAGGAGUUCCUGCUGUGGCACAAUGGGGUUGGCAGUGUCUCUGCAGCACCAGAAUGCAGGUUUGAUCCCCAGCCCGGCACAGUGGGUUCAAGGAUCCAGUAUUGCCACAGCUGUGCCAUAGGUUGCAACUGUGGUUCAGAUCUGAUCCCUGGCCCCAGAACUUCAUAUGCCAUGGGGAGGCCAAAAGAGAAAAAAAAUAAUAGUUUUAAGUCAGGAUACUUAUCAUCAGUGAUGAUUUUCAGUCCCUUAGGCAAGGAGAGCUCAAUGUGUGAAAAGGAUGAGAGGUGGAAUGAACAAAUGACAGGCUGAUGAAUGAACAAAUGAAUGAAUGAAUUAUUGGUAUAUAAAUUACAAGAAGAAAGUCUCUCCACCUGGAAUUUACUUUUCCUGCUUUUCUACUAAGGUAGGUUGUUUUGUUUUAAAAAUUACUCCAAUUUAACCUUGGUUUCUUAAAAAAUUUUUCUAAAUGGAAAAUGAUUUGUCUCUAAUACUUUUGUUGUUUAGCAAUUCUUUAUACACAUGAGUGUAAUCUCAAGAUAUUUCUACCUAGAGCUUAUAUCAAUGUUGGGCUUGGUCUCCUUUAGGAACUACUGUUGUGCCAAAGGAUUGGGCAGCAAUUUCCGUCUUCACUUUGCUUGCAAAUUCAUGCUAGGCCAUGUUUCAUGAUUCACUGGGCAAAUGUAUCGUGGAUACUGCCUCUGAGUUUGUAUGCAGGUGUGCUUAUCUUUUACCUUUUAAAGCACUAGUUGUGGGAACAGAGAUUUCUUUCUGCUAAUUGAAUCUUGACCAGUGAACUCCUCCUUGUUUAGAGGUAUUUUAAUCCUUUCCAAAUAAAUAUUAAUUUAUCUAAUUGACUGACUGGAGUUAUAAUUCAACUGCAGAAGGAGAGCAGCUUGUACUCUUCCUUAUGACAGAUUCAUGCCCACUAGAGUACAUCAUCUUCAACACAAGAUGACCAACCCAUGAGGUGACUCUGAGGAUUAGUGAGACUUGGUAAUGUUUAUACAACUUUUAAAAUCUCUUAUCGGAAAAGUGCUUUGGCAACCAUGAAAAGUUGAUCUUAAUCUGUCUAUGCUCAGAGUAAGAAUCGUCUUUCAUAAAUCCAACUUAUUUUCCAAAGGUAGUGCUGUUUUCUAAAAAGGUCAACCUGUGUUUGAGAUCAGUUUAAAUUAUGGCUGAUGUGAACUCAGUUAUUCCCCAGAAAAACUAGUUAUUCCCUGGUUUUAGCAUCCCUCAGAAUCACUGAGGAACCAGUCCAGGGCCCCAGAACUUCGGAUUAAGCAGGUCUGGGAGGAGGCCUAAGUUUGUACAGUUCUAGAAAGAUCCAAAGUGACGUGAGUUGUCCUGGUAUCACUCUUUGAGAACCACUGCCCUGGGAAUGUGCACUGUCACCAGGGUGACUGGGAGCAAAAACAUCCAAGGGAAGUUGUGUAAACUCCUCCAGAGAGGUUCAGUGUGGUCUUUUGAAAUUAGAUAUGAUUUGUGAUUGUUUUCUUACAGUUUGUGUAUUAUAUAUUACUUGUUUUGGAAGGGAGCGCUAAAGGAAAAAAAAAAUGGCUUCUAGUAUUUGUGUCUAGACCUAGUGUUAUUUGACUAAACUAUUAAUGCCUGCUUCAAAAUCCAGUACCUCUAAUCACAACCUCUUCCUGCCUCCCAAACAAAACAAGGCUAAAAUCUAAACCGAAUGUUGUCCCUUACCAGCGCAUAAAAAGUUAACAGUGCCAAACAGAAUCACUCAGGUCAGUGGAGGGUAAAGCCAGCAUUUGGAAAUGCUGUGAGAGCACAAAUAGUUUAAACUGUAGACAAGUCCGGAGGAAAUUACAGCGGGAAAACUUUCCAUCCUGGGUUCCAGUUGCCAAGGAGUUUGUGUAGGUUGCCGGAGACCUCACCCCUUGGUGGCUCCUCUGUGACUCACUGUGUCCCUGGGAAUCCUCAGAUCCAGCAACAAGAGAGAAUGCAGAAACUCUGCCUUUGAUCUCCUGGGAUGAAAAUCCCCAGAACUUGGUUUCUACGACAGGGAGUUUUCUAACUAAAUAGAUGGUAACAGAGCUGAUAACUCUGAUUCUUAGAUAUCAGUCUGGUUCUGGCCCAGGUGCAAAGGUUGAGAUUAGAUAAAGCUGUGUACUGGGUCUCAAUGCAGCAGCAGGAGAGUGGGAGGGCAGGGUUAGAACCCCCUUGGACCCAGUUUGGAUGGCUCGUUAGAUUUGAGACAUCACAGUUGCUCUUGCUCUGCUCUUGGAACCCAGCUCUCAGACUCCCUUAAUUUGGAGUUUGAUGGACUCCUAUAGAUGGAAACGCCUAUCCAUGAAAUAGCUUUUCUUUCUGGAUACAUCUUAUUCUUUACCAUUACCCUUGCAAGUUCAAAUCCAGUCCUAACCAGAAGCAAAUGUGAUCAUUUUCCUUUCCCUAAUAAUGAGGAAGAGUGUAACCUGAUGCUGCAGUCCUUAAUCAAAUUUUGGGGGGGUUAGAUUUAAUGUGUGUUUAAAUUACCUGGAGAUCUUGUAAAAAGAGCAGAAUGUGAUUUGGUAGAUUCAGUCGAUCUGGAUGGAGCCCGAGAGAUUCUGCCUUUCUAACAAACUCUAAGUGCUGAUGCUGUUGUUCUAAGACCAGGCUUUGAACAGCAAGGGGAUUAGUUUUCGACUUGAGCUUCUCAAUAAGAUCACCUUGAGAGGCCAUUUGUUCACUCUUUUUAAAAGCCCAACACUGAAGUUCCCGUCAUGGAUCAGCGGAAAUGAAUCCAACUAGUAUCCUUGAGGACACAGGUUCGAUCCCUGGCCUUGCUCAGUGGUUAAGGAUCUGGCUUUGCCAUGAGCUGUGGUGUAGGUCAUAGACAUGGCUUAGAUCCCACGUUGCUGGGGCUGUGGUGUAGGCCAGCGGUUACAGCUCCAAUUUGACCCCUAGCCUGGGAACCUCCAUAUGCCAAGGGGGGUGCGGCCCUAAAAAAAAAAAAAAAAAAAAAAAAAAAAA